CGGGAUCGCAAGACCUUGCGCUUUUGGAGCGGCCGAUGUCUGAUUAGCUAGUUGGUGAGGUAAAGGCUUACCAAGGCGACGAUCAGUAGUUGGUCUGAGAGGACGACCAGCCACACUGGGACUGAGACACGGCCCAGACUCCUACGGGAGGCAGCAGUGGGGAAUUUUGGACAAUGGGGGCAACCCUGAUCCAGCCAUGCCGCGUGAGUGAAGAAGGCCUUCGGGUUGUAAAGCUCUUUCAGUCGGAAAGAAACGGUCACGAUUAAUACUCACAAUCCAUGACGGUACCGGCAGAAGAAGCACCGGCUAACUACGUGCCAGCAGCCGCGGUAAUACGUAGGGUGCGAGCGUUAAUCGGAAUUACUGGGCGUAAAGCGUGCGCAGGCGGCUCCUUAAGUCAGA
RNAcentral lists this ribosomal RNA (402 nucleotides) under uncultured ammonia-oxidizing bacterium. RNAcentral describes it as "bacterial SSU rRNA". It matches the Rfam family "Bacterial small subunit ribosomal RNA", at positions 199 to 592 of the family's 1533-position model. The record is from RNAcentral.